This 5052-nucleotide long non-coding RNA is filed under the name Sus scrofa (pig). RNAcentral describes it as "lncRNA (ENSSSCG00050027930.1)". The record is from RNAcentral. Lineage: Eukaryota; Metazoa; Chordata; Mammalia; Artiodactyla; Suidae.
AUGUACAGAAUGCUCUGAAGGAUUGGGUAGAUUGACAGAUCUCACACUUACCAUGUGGCAGAGCAGGGAUUUGCGCUCUGAACUCUCAGAGUCCCGAUGCUGAGCUCUUAACCAGGAAGAGCUUCCUUUCAGCAGGGAGCUGCCUCCCCUACGAUGAACCCAACUAACAGUGACACUAUAACUGUCUCAGACUGAUCUAACAGUGGGGAAACUUAUUAGCCUCCAGAUCCUGUGCUGGUGAAUCCAGGGCCUCAGCCAUGACAUCAGGGGCCCGUUCCAGCCUCAUCCAUGUGGCUGCAAACUGGCAGUCGCAAGCAUUGGGCCUCUUGCUUCCUUGUUCAUGUCCCAUCAGGGAAAGAGGGGGUAGACUUUCCUCCUCUCUCUCUCUAAAAUGUAUGAAAGAGGAGUUCCCAUUAUGGCUCAGCAGUAACAAAUCUGACCAGGAUCCAUGAGGAUGCAGAUUCAGUCCCUGGCUUUGCUCAGUGGGUUAAGGAUCUGGCAUUGCCAAGAGCUGUGGUGUAGCUUGCAGACGUGGCUCGGGUCCCACGUUGGUGUGGCUAGAGGUGUAGGCCAGCGGCUGUAGUUCCAGCUUGACUUCUAGCCUGGGAACUUCCUUAUGCCGAGGGUGCAGCCCUAAAAAAAAAAAAGACAAAAAUAAGAUAAAAUAAAAAGAAUGUUCUCCGAAGCCACCAGUAAAUCUCUCCUUCAAUCUCACUGGCCAGAAUUGGGUUAUGUGGCCACUCCUAAAAUGCAGGCUGGAUAUGAUUAACCUCAGACCUGUCAUCGAAGCUGGGUGUCAAGCCAAAGCCUUCAUGGCCUUUCCAGGAUGACAGAGAGGAGGUUCAAGUAUCGGGGCAUUGACCAUGAUCCACUAUGGGAAUGGUAACGCACUUAAAUACCCAUAAACGUGUGUGAGUGUAAAUCACCUUUUACUUAUAACAAGGAUUCAGGCCAGUCCAUAUAUUCUCCACUACUGAUACUUGUGAUCCAGUCUCUCUCUUUCUCUAGCUAAUAAAUGCUUUUAUUUCAUAACUGCAGUAUAGACAGAAUGAAGACAUUAUUUGUUCCUUGUUGUUUCCAGCUGGGACUUAGAAUCUGGCCAAUCGCUGGCCCAAACUCAUCUCUUAUAGACACUCAGCCCUGGAACUUUGCUAACCACGUUCCAUUACAUGUAGAGGUUCAUUUUACUUUUCAGUGUUGUUUUUAAACACAGCUUGUCUCCUUCUGACAGAGUUACUCUUGGUUUGGGGUAGGAUGAGGACAGGGCAGAAAAAAAUCUCACCAAAGCAUGACUUUUUCCGAGUGGACAGGCUUCCCAGAGCACUGUUUGUCAGGAUGCUGUGGGUUGCCAGCAACAGAAGCUCACAUUGAAACAGUUUACAGAAGAGGGGACCUAAAUAGAUACUGGAAUAUCUUGAAAAAGAUGCAACAAGGCCUCGGGAAGCAGUGAAAUGAGGGGCUCAAAUGGCAUCAGAAUGCCCCCUCUCUCACUGUGCUUCUCACGGAGCCCCUGCUCCAUCUUAUCCACCUGCAGACCGACUUCUUCCAUCUCUGACCCCGUUAUGGAAGGGAGUGGGGUUGCCGAGAACAAUCCUUCCCCCGCCCCAAUGUUGGAUAUUCUUUCGCAGUUUUAAUUUCAAGGAUCCUUGGAGGGUCUAGAAUGGGCUCCACGAGGCUCAAGUGCCCGUCCCCAGGCCUGCCGCCUGUGGUCAGGACUCACCUUGGACUUGCAGAGUGACUCCCUCGAUGACCAUGUAAAAGGUGGGAGAGAUGGGAGGACAAUCCCAGAGACUCUGUCAUAAUCAUCUUGUGCCCAAGAGGGAAUGAGGGGUGACAGGCGAAGAGAAGGGCAUUUUCCUUGUGAUUCCACGGACUUGACUCUGCCCAGCGUUUUCCAGGGAGACUUGUCUCUGUGACCUCACCCUUUCCUCCUGAGGAUUCUCUGAGGAUACUGCUAGAUCUUUCAGGAGAUGGUGGUUAACAGAGUUGGAUACAGGAACAUGGUCCAGUCCCUGCCCUCAAGAGACUCCAGACUGGUCAGUGAGACAGAUACGGACAGAACUCAACAGGGCUCCCAAGGACCUCAGCUGUUACACUCACUGUGUACCUUGCCAGUUACCUAGGCAUGGGCUUCUUGAGUUUUCUAGGCUGUGUCUAGACCUCCACCAGGCUCCGGACCCUAGUUCUUCUGACACUGCAUGGAUGUGGCAGGUAAGUGAUGGAAUAAACUUUCCUCCGUUCAGAAUGAGGGGAGUGCCAAAGAGCUGGCUGCUUUGAAGAGGGGAGAGCUUGGCUCUUUCCAACUGGAGGACUGGGAAAGUCAUCCCAGAUGUGGUACCACUGAGCUGUGUGGAGAGGGGUCUGCAGAUGGGGAGGAGGGAAGUCAAUGAGAAGCAGAAAGGUGGGACUCCAACUCCCCCUGGUACUUCUGUCCCUGGCCGGGGCUCUGACCACUUAGGAUACUCCCUAGAGCACAAUCUAAAUGAGAACAAUGAAAUCCGAGCUGUCCCAAGAAGUCAGCACCUGUUUGGUGUCCUGCACGCCUUUCAGGCCCUUUGUGUAUUUCUAAGUAGACAAUCUCAUUCAUUUUCACAACGGGCACUAAGAGACCAGGAGGGGAGGAUGGGCUUAGGAGGAGCCCUGGGCAGGAGUGUCUGAAAGCAGGUGGGAGGCAAGCCUCUGAGGUUUCAACCAGCCUCCCAGCCAUUUCUCCCAGCAACACACCAUGUGCCCCUGGGCAAGUCUUCUCCCUUUGCUGUGACCCAAGGUCUUCUUUAUAGCAAGAGGACAUGGGAUUCAGUUACCACUGCAGUACCUUCUAGCUCUAACAUCGCAUGCUCCCUACUGUGCCCUACAGGAAGUGCCCAGUUCCUAGGAAGGAUGGUGGUUGGCCUGAGUUCUUCAGCAAGUUGGAGAAGUUUCUGGAAGAUACACCCAUUGUGAGCAGUAGGAGGAUGAGAUCCGUGUUUUCAUGUUUACCACGGUGAGAGGUAGAUGCUCAGGGGAGAUGCUGAAUGAAUCAGUGCAAGUUUCCAGACUCCUGAGUUCGCACAUGCCAUGGAUUGAUGUGUCCCCUCCCUCCAGAUUCAUACCUUGAAAUCCUAACUCCCAAUGUGACAGUAUUAGAGGUGGCAUCUUGGGAGAGUAAUUAGGUCAUAAAGAUGGAGCCCUUAUGAAUGGGAUCGGUGCCCAAAUCAAAGGGACCCUCUUUCCACCGUGUGGAGGACACGAUGAGAAGACCAUGGUUGGCACGCUGGAAGGGGACCCUCGCCCAACCAUGCUUGCCCUCUGCAUCUCAAGCUUCCAGCCUUCAGAACUGUGAGAAAUACAUUUCUGUAGUUUAGAAGCCACCUGAUCGAGGUACUUUUUCAUAGCAGGCUGAGCCAGCUGAAACAUAUCGAUUCCAGCGCCUGCUGCCUUUCUGUUGAGCUUUCAGGGAGAAGCCCUUCACUUCCUCACCAGGACAAUCUGUUCCUCGGUGGGGAUUAAACACUGUUUUAUAAUUGAUAUCAUAACUGACCCUGGAGCGAGAAGUUGGGACUUACCUUCAAUCUCCCAUGAGGAUCUGGAGCCAGUGCAGCUCACAGGAGACGCAGGGCUGCAGUGCAGAGGAAACCAUUCAACGUGUGUAUGUGAAAAAACUUCCAAGCUAUGGGACAGCACAGCCCUCUGUGUUAAACACUCCUGCUGGAAGCCUUCCCUCUCCGCACUCGCAGAGCUGGUUCAAGCCCCAUGAGGGUUCUUGGCUCCGAUGCCCUUCCCCUCAGAGACACUGUCCCAACGGGGCUGUUCUUUCGUCAUUGCCCUCAGCACCCUCGACACUUGUCUGCCUCCAGUUGACCGAAGCUUCAUCCAACAAUGCCUGGCAUAUAGUGGGUCCUCGAUACAUACUUGUUGAGGAAAAGAAGGAAUUAAUGAUUGACUCUCCACCAGACAUAUCUGGGAAGACAUCAUAAUCACCAGAGCAGUAUUUGGAAUCCAUAAAGCCCCGCUGGCCUCUCGGACCUGGCGCUUCCCAGUGAGAAUCCUUGUCACUGUUUUGGAAGGUGAGAAAAAGACGUGGCGCAUACCCUGUCUGAGGUUCCUUGGCUUGCCAGCCCUCCGCCAUUCUGGUGGGUAAUAUUUUCAUCAGGGAAAUGUGGAAGGAAGAGCACCAGCCUCAAGUUAGGGCACUUGGGUUCAAGGCAGUGUUCACAGCCUGGCUCUUAGGAAAGCCCAUCAGUGUCUUCAGCCUCAAUACCACUGGGGUCACAAAACCCAUAUAAACUCCCUUGUAGCACUGUCAAGGGACAACUAGGAGGCGACUUACGAACAUGCCACUUGCUAUAAAGGAGUCACAGCCUUUGCUAAUUUUUUUUUUCUCCGUUUUGGCAGCACCAGCAGCAUAUGGAAAUUCCCGGGCCAGGGAUCGAACCCGAGCCACAGCUGCAACCUAUACCACAGUUUGUGGCAACACCAAAUCCUUAGCCCACUGAGGGAGGCCAGGGAUUGCACCUGCAUCCUCACAGACAUGGUGUGGGCUCUUAACUCUGAGCCACAAUGGGAACUCCCAAAGAUCCACAGCCCUAACCUCUAAGGUACUGACCCAUAAGCCGUAUUUGUAACCUUACCCACCGCCCUCCCAAGGAAGCUGCCAGGAGUGUGGGGCUGGAAAUCCCUGGUGAGAGUGAACAAACCUGAAAAUACCUGCAUGGCUCCUAGAAAGAGUCCUGAGCCUCAGGGUCUAAAGGAGGGCUUUGGCGAUUUGCAUACUGAUUUGCAUAUCCUUUGCUGGCCCUGGGAGGCUGGUGGCUGAUCCCUCCUCCUGCAGCCCUCCUCGGCCUCUACACCUCCCGACUGGAGCCCAGCCUGGAAAAAUGGUGGGUUGGGCCCCGCCUGCAUUCCCCCCCCCUCAACUCGCUGCCCCCACUGCCUUCCCCCACCUCCCGGAAGCUGGGAUGUGGGCAAAUGUCAUCGUGCAGAGAGCUCUAGGGCCACACUGCCUGAUGGAUGGCAGGCCUUAAGCGUGACUGAGCUUUCACAGCUAAAACCAUUAAAGGUUAUUCUCCUUUU